CCAGACUCCUACGGGAGGCAGCAGUGGGGAAUAUUGCACAAUGGGCGAAAGCCUGAUGCAGCAACGCCGCGUGAAGGAAGACGGUUUUCGGAUUGUAAACUUCUGUUCUUAGUGAAGAAUAAUGACGGUAACUAAGGAGCAAGCCACGGCUAACUACGUGCCAGCAGCCGCGGUAAUACGUAGGUGGCAAGCGUUGUCCGGAAUUACUGGGUGUAAAGGGAGCGUAGGCGGGAAGCCAAGUCAGCUGUGAAAGUCCGCGGCUCAACCGUGGAAUUGCAGUUGAAACUGGAGGCCUUGAGUGCACACAGGGAUGCCGGAAUUCAUGGUGUAGCGGUGAAAUGCUUAGAUAUCAUGAAGAACUCCGAUCGCGAAGGCAAGUGUCCGGGGUGCAACUGACGCUGAGGCUCGAAAGUGCGGGUAUCAAACAGGAUUAGAUACCCUGGUACC
This 447-nucleotide ribosomal RNA is filed under the name uncultured bacterium. RNAcentral's name for it is "bacterial SSU rRNA". It matches the Rfam family "Bacterial small subunit ribosomal RNA", at positions 331 to 796 of the family's 1533-position model. The record is from RNAcentral.